CCUACGGGAGGCUGCAGUGAGGAAUAUUGGUCAAUGGCCGGAAGGCUGAACCAGCCAUGCCGCGUGAAGGUCAGUGCCCUAUGGGCGUUAAACUUCUUUUGUGCGGGAGCAAUAAUGGUCACGUGUGGCCAGACGAGAGUACCGUACGAAUAAGCAUCGGCUAACUCCGUGCCAGCAGCCGCGGUAAUACGGGGGAUGCAAGCGUUAUCCGGAUUUAUGUGGGUUAAAGGGUGCGUAGGCUGUGAGGUAAGUCAGCGGUGAAAUGCCUCCGCUCAACGGGGUGAAGUGCCAUUGAUACUGCCUGGCUUGAAUGCGGAUGCCGUGGGAGGAAUGUGUGGUGUAGCGGUGAAAUGCAUAGAUAUCACACAGAACACCGAUUGCGAAGGCAUCUCACGAAUCCGCGAUUGACGCUGAUGCACGAAAGCGUGGGUAUCAAACAGGAUUAGAUACCCGGGUAGUC
This 460-nucleotide ribosomal RNA is filed under the name uncultured bacterium. RNAcentral's name for it is "partial 16S ribosomal RNA". It matches the Rfam family "Bacterial small subunit ribosomal RNA", at positions 338 to 795 of the family's 1533-position model. The record is from RNAcentral.